AAAUGAAUUGACGGGGGCCCGCACAAGCGGAGGAGCAUGUGGUUUAAUUCGAUGAUACGCGAGGAACCUUACCUGGGCUUGAAAGUUAGUGACAGUCCCUGAAAGGGGAUCUUCCGCAAGGACACGAAACUAGGUGCUGCAUGGCUGUCGUCAGCUCGUGCCGUGAGGUGUUGGGUUAAGUCCCGUAACGAGCGCAACCCCUAUCAUUAGUUGCCAACAGGUUAAGCUGGGGACUCUAAUGAGACUGCCCGCGCAAGCGGUGAGGAAGGUGGGGAUGACGUCAAGUCAUCACGGCCCUUACGUCCAGGGCUACACACGUGCUACAAUGGUAGAUACAGCAGGUUGCCACAUGGUAACAUGGAGCUAAUCCCAAAAGUCUAUCUCAGUUCGGAUUGAGGUCUGCAACUCGACCUCAUGAAGCUGGAUUCGCUAGUAAUCGGAAAUCAGCAAUGUUCCGGUGAAUACGUUCCCGGGCCUUGUACACACCGCCCGU
Molecule: ribosomal RNA, 493 nt
Filed under: uncultured bacterium
Lineage: Bacteria
Description: bacterial SSU rRNA
Rfam family: Bacterial small subunit ribosomal RNA
Source: RNAcentral